GCUGUACCCACAGUCCUAUUUGUCUUGAAGUACAAACAGUACAAGAUGGAAAAUUGGAAGAAAAUGGCUUGGAGAGAAUACAAAGAAAAAAACCCACAAUACCAGAUUUGGGAUACUUUCCUAUGCUUUGUUGGUCAGAGAGGUCUCAGAAGCAUCCAAAGCAAUAUGGAUUAUCAUCACUGCUUUUGAUUGGUUGCCCACAAGAACAUGAAGGCCCAUGGUGGAUUUCUUACAAACCUAUGAGGAUAAUGUGAGACAAUAGAUUUUGUAGGUUUGUAAAUGGCAUAGAAGUGAAGAGAGGAGUGCACUGGGCUGAUCUUCAAAGACAUCUGGUGAAGAUGAAC
Molecule: long non-coding RNA, 344 nt
Filed under: Cricetulus griseus (Chinese hamster)
Lineage: Eukaryota; Metazoa; Chordata; Mammalia; Rodentia; Cricetidae
Description: lncRNA (ENSCGRG00015032513.1)
Source: RNAcentral